CUGGCGAGUUCUGGCACUCCAGGAAGUCAUGGCACGUGGUGCGCUCGCACUUCCUGCAGGGAGGAUAGGCCGGGUCACCCACAGCUCGCCCACCCCCCUCAUCCCCAGACGGGGACACAGAUGGCACAGCUCAGCGGCAGGAUCAAGGGCCAGCUCUCUCCCUAAUGGCCGGGAAGCCUCAGGCAAGUCCCCUUACGUCCCCUGGGUCUCAGUUUCCUUGCCUGCGAGAUGAGGUUAAUAAAACCUUCACCGGCUCACUGGAAUGGCCGUAAGAAGUAGAUGUCAUGACAAGCCCCAUCUUACAAGGAGGGAAGCUGAGGCAGAGACAAGGCUCUACUGCUGGGGAGCACUGGACCAGGACCAGAACCCGGGGGACUGGCUCCCAAGCCUGCUUUGUUAGCCGCUGUCCCACACUUGCAGGGGGCGGAAGUGGGGAUAUCCCCACCGUGUGCCUAAAUCUCUAAGGGAGAGCGAGGCCAUCAGAGGCUGCAGAGUCCCCAGGACAGUGGCUGAGUGCAGCCAGCAGACCUUGGGCCACCAGGAGGGAGAGAGCUCCAGGCCCUGCCCUCAGGGAGCUCACCAUUCGGAGAUGUGGCUGAUGUCUCGGCACCCAAACAUCCCUUCAUUCAACAAAGAUUUAUUGAGCACCUGCUAUGCACCAAGCACUGUUCUUGGCACUGGGUGUACAUCAGUGACCAAGACAGAAAUCCCUGCCCUUGUGGGGCAGACACUCAAGGGGAGAGGACACAAUAAAUACAUAAACAAACAUAAAUGGAGGUGGUGAUGAG
RNAcentral lists this long non-coding RNA (788 nucleotides) under Homo sapiens (human). RNAcentral's name for it is "HSALNT0051193". Lineage: Eukaryota; Metazoa; Chordata; Mammalia; Primates; Hominidae. The record is from RNAcentral.